UACCUCUCAGGGUCAAACCUGGAGAGUUUCCAGUAUUCUACCAGUCACGGCUACAAGAGGAAAGUCAAGCAAAGGCAGAUCCAUGCCAUUCCUAGUUUGGGCAGUGGCUAGCAAGUGGAAGGCAAUCUGCUACAAGU
Molecule: small nucleolar RNA, 137 nt
Organism: Tachyglossus aculeatus (Australian echidna)
Lineage: Eukaryota; Metazoa; Chordata; Mammalia; Monotremata; Tachyglossidae
Source: RefSeq, a predicted model, not a curated record